This 3316-nucleotide long non-coding RNA is filed under the name Mytilus galloprovincialis (Mediterranean mussel). Lineage: Eukaryota; Metazoa; Mollusca; Bivalvia; Mytilida; Mytilidae. The record is from RNAcentral.
GAACAAUCAAAAGUCGAAUUCGCAAUUUCUUAAACAAAAUUAAAUCCAUGCAGUAUUAACCUGUAACAGGUAAACAAUGAACAAUGUAAAAAGACAACAAAAAACGCAGACGAUUUUUUUUUUUUAUUAAAUUACUUUAUAAUUAUGAAAUCAACAUGCAUAUUCUUCAACAGUCUUAAAUCACUACUUUCCAAAAAGUUGUCAUCUUGAUAUCUUUUGUCAAUUUUUUCGUUAUAAUCUAUUUCGUAAAUAAUUUCAAUAAUACAGAUUCUUUAUGCAUUCAGAGUCAUAAAAAAUCAUCUGUAUUAUAUGUCUCUGUUAUAUACCAACAUAUUAUUUACUCAUUUGUAUGUAAAAAAUCAGAUUAAAUAUAUUAACGAAAUUUUGAAUCUCUCCUUUUCCCAUAAUCAGAUGACAUUAAAAAUACACACACAAUCUUAAAUCUCCAUUUUUACAAAAUCAAGUGACACAAAAAAAUGUUUAAAAAUCUUUACUCUCCCUAUUUCCAAAAUCAAGUGACACAGAAAAUGUUUUAAAAUCUUCAUUCUCCCUAUUUCCCAAAUCAACUGUCAUCAACAAUAAUGACAAAAACUUCAAUGUUCCCUUUUCUAAAAUAAAAUAACAUUAACGAUUUAAAAAAAAUUCCCAUUUCCCAAAUCAAAUGACAUAAACAAUAAUAACAAAAACUUCAUUUUCGCCAUUUCCACAAUCAAUUGACAUAAAAAAUAUAUUGACAAAAUGUUCAAUGUUACCUUUUCCCAAAUCAAAUGUCAUUAAAAAAUAUGUACAAAAUCUUCAUUUCACUAAGCAGUCACCCCAACAUUCUGUUUAGCUGCAUGUUUUAAAAACAUGACCCACAAUCGUCAUUUCCUUAAUUCAUAUAAAAAAAAAGAAUAUUUAGUUUGAUUUCUAAUGAGAAAUCUUUCCAUCUACAAAAUAAUAUAGAAUUAUGGUUUCUGUUAAUAUUUUUUUUGGUAAUAAACCCUGUAUAAUAGGUCAUUUUUUAGUGGUUCCUGUCUAUCUAUUGAAACAUUCAUUACAAUGAUGACAAAUCUUAAAAAUAAUCAAACCUUUUGGAAAACCAAAUAUACUAGGUCAACAGAGAUAACAGCGUAUCAAAUACAAAGUUAAAUAGGUAAAGUUGUUAAAAAUUAACUAGUCGAUCAGUUUUGACAAAGUUUGUUUACAUUUGUCGAUAUCUUAAAAAAAAAUACAAUUUGAUAAUUAUGGCAAAACGUCUAUUCUUGAUACAAUUCUGGAAUCUUUUCAUUUAACAGGACACUUAUUAAAAGCUACAUGAUGGCUUACUUUUUAUUUUAGAUUGGUCCCUUAUCUCUCUCUACACUCUAGGUAUUAGGGAACCUAUAUUUAAGUUAACAUAACCAUGUCAAUCGGAUGCAUGUAGCAGCCAGGUGGCUUAUAAAUUUGAUCUCGUAAAAUGAGGGAAAUAUUCUCCUAAUUUACUAAUGCAAUUGAUAUAAAUGAAUUAUAUCUUUUAAUUUCAUAAAUAUUUAAUACAUAGAUAUUGCACGAAUAUUUGUUUUAGAUUAAAGCUUUACAAAAUGCAAUUUCUUGCGAAUUCAUAAUAAUGGAAACGAUACUUACAAAUCAAAUCAAAUUAUCUUUUGGUGUAAAAUCCCAAUAUUUGGUUGUUACAAAGACAAACAUGACAAUAUUUACAAACAUACUGUAUUUAAAUCUAAGCAAUAUUCAUAUUACAUAAAUGUGUCAUAUAUGCAAAGGAGUAGGUGCGGUAAGGGCCGAUUUUCGACUCAAAUUUCAGGUUUUCAAGAUAUUUGAUAAAUUUUAAACACGUAAGUGUCUACUUCAGUCGACUUAAUUAAUUUAUAUGAAAGAUUUGAACUGAUUUGGUCAUUUAAGACGCUCAAUUCAAGCUUAAAUAUGACAAUUUCUAUCAAAUAUGCAAUAAUAUGUCAUUUUUUCAGAUGAUUUUUGUCCGUGUUCACUCUCGACCUUUAUAUAUGUUAUGUAUUAUCAUCAAAUACAACUUACAUUUGAAUAUUAAGAAUGAACACAAAUGCGACCACUUCCAUUUAAAACGGAAACCGUGUGAAUAUUUCAGUAAUUUAGCAUGACUUAAUGAUGAUAGAACCCGAUAUAUGUGUAAUAAAUGUAUCGUAAAAAAACAGCACAUAUUUAUGUAACAGAAGUAUUAUACAUUUCAAUAAAUAACUAAAAACUUACAUUUUAAUAAUUUAGUAAAACUGCUAUAUUUUGGGGCCAAAAAGGGGUCUUACGGUACGUACUCCUUUGAAAGUUUUAGUACAAUUUUCUUAAUGCUUUUGAUACCAAACAUUAACACAACAAAUAUAUAAGAAAAAAAAACAACAAAUAUACAAGAAAAAAGGAAACAAUCAGAAAUUUGUAUUUCAUAAUUGUUUUAGUAUUCUAAUCUUUGUAAAUAUGAUUCUUCGAACACCAUCUCAGUACUUUGUAAUUUUUAAAUUAUAAAUUAUUGUAUUUUAACUGAAAAAAACAUCAGACACAUUUACAAUGAUAGAAAAUAACCAAUACUGUAUGUAAACAAUUUAACUUAUAUUCUUAUUUAACCAUUGUUUCAUUUAAAAAGUGCCAAAUACAUUUUGCCAUCUAUUUACAUUAAUCAUAUAAGUGCAUGUGAAAUACACAAUUUCAGAAGGACAAAAAUACAAAUACAGAAAACUACAUUAAAGUUGGUUAAACAAAUGCAAAUAUAUAAUUAUCAUGAUUUGUUUUUAUACACGAAAUUGACAUAUUAUGAAACAAAACAUUCUGUAAGUAGAAAAAAUGAAAUCAAACUAAACUAAAACAAAAUUAUAAUCAGUGAAGGUACAAUUUCCUUCCAACAAGUAUCCAUGAUUUUCUUUUUGUUACUUUCCGUUUAUAAGAAGGCAACAUAAUGUUUUCUGUAAAGUUGUAACUUUUAUAAACUAUAUACUACAAUUUCAAGUCAAAUUACAAGAAAUUCAAGUGUGCAUUUACUAAAUAUUUCACAGUUGAAUAACUAAAAAUAUGUGAAAUGACAUUUGAUUCGUAAAGCUAUAUAGAAUGCAUUAAAAUAAAGCAAUGGAUAUUCCAAACCUAGUAAAAUUUCAUAUGUGAUGUAAUAUGAUAGAUGAAAUAGGGACAGUUGCACUUGAUCUAUUUCCUCGAUCAUUAGUGAUGUUAAAAAAUUACAAUAUGAAAAUGCAAAAAACAAGAAUGUGUCCACAGUACACGGAUGCCCCACUCACACUAUCAUUUUCUAUGUUUAAAGGACUGUGAAAUUGGAAUAAAUUCUCUAAUUUGGCAUUAAAAUUAGAAUGAUCUUAUCAAG